UAGGGAAUCUUCGGCAAUGGGGGGAACCCUGACCGAGCAACGCCGCGUGAGUGAAGAAGGUUUUCGGAUCGUAAAGCUCUGUUGUUAAGGAAGAACGAGUGUGAGAAUGGAAAGUUCAUACUGUGACGGUACUUAACCAGAAAGGGGCGGCUAACUACGUGCCAGCAGCCGCGGUAAUACGUAGGUCCCGAGCGUUGUCCGGAUUUAUUGGGCGUAAAGCGAGCGCAGGCGGUUAGAUAAGUCUGAAGUUAAAGGCAGUGGCUCAACCAUUGUAGGCUUUGGAAACUGUUUAACUUGAGUGCAGAAGGGGAGAGUGGAAUUCCAUGUGUAGCGGUGAAAUGCGUAGAUAUAUGGAGGAACACCGGUGGCGAAAGCGGCUCUCUGGUCUGUAACUGACGCGGAGGCUCGAAAGCGUGGGGAGCGAACAGG
Molecule: ribosomal RNA, 429 nt
Filed under: Bacteroidota bacterium
Lineage: Bacteria; Pseudomonadati; Bacteroidota
Description: Bacteroidetes bacterium partial 16S ribosomal RNA
Rfam family: Bacterial small subunit ribosomal RNA
Source: RNAcentral